AUUGAACGCUGGCGGCAUGCCUUACACAUGCAAGUCGAACGGCAGCACGGGGGCAACCCUGGUGGCGAGUGGCGAACGGGUGAGUAAUACAUCGGAACGUGUCCUCUUGUGGGGGAUAACCAGUCGAAAGAUUGGCUAAUACCGCAUGAGAUCGCAAGAUGAAAGCGGGGGACCGCAAGGCCUCGCGCGAGAGGAGCGGCCGAUGUCGGAUUAGCUAGNGGUGGGGUAAAGCCUACCAAGGCGACGAUCCGUAGCUGGUCUGAGAGGACGACCAGCCACACUGGGACUGAGACACGGCCCAGACUCCUACGGGAGGCAGCAGUGGGGAAUUUUGGACAAUGGGCGCAAGCCUGAUCCAGCCAUGCCGCGUGUGUGAAGAAGGCCUCGG
RNAcentral lists this ribosomal RNA (388 nucleotides) under uncultured bacterium. Its description in RNAcentral is "bacterial SSU rRNA". It matches the Rfam family "Bacterial small subunit ribosomal RNA", at positions 29 to 420 of the family's 1533-position model. The record is from RNAcentral.